Alosa sapidissima (American shad) is the source of this 396-nucleotide long non-coding RNA. RefSeq lists it as uncharacterized. The transcript has 3 exons. The record is from RefSeq and is a predicted model, not a curated record. Lineage: Eukaryota; Metazoa; Chordata; Actinopteri; Clupeiformes; Clupeidae.
CUUGGGGGCGGUAACCAGCCCUCAGUUGUGGAAGUCUGCUGAAAUGAAGAAGACAAAGGUGUCUGGGCAGAGGUUUCUUCAGGGUCACAUCUCCUCUGUGCAUGAGCUGGUGACCUACGCCUAUCUGUGGAUCAGGCCAACGGUUGCCCGGCAGCAGCUGGAAGAGCUGACGUCCGAGGCUGCGACCAUCGCUAUGCUGGUGAUCGACAAGGACCAAGUGUUGCUGAAAUGAUGGUAUCUUUAGGAAGUGGAGAAACCUGCCAACGUCUGCAAAGAGUGCUGCAACACUGAUAUGAAGAACACAAGACUUUGUAGAGUUGAAAUCUAUUCUUUGGUCUCUAUAUGUAUGUUAUCUGUCUUAUACGUGUGUAAACGAAUAAAAAAUGAUUUUGAUAG